CCUACGGGAGGCAGCAGUGGGGAAUAUUGGACAAUGGGGGGAACCCUGAUCCAGCGACGCCGCGUGAGUGAAGAAGUAUUUCGGUAUGUAAAGCUCUAUCAGCAGGGAAGAAAGAAAUGACGGUACCUGACUAAGAAGCCCCGGCUAACUACGUGCCAGCAGCCGCGGUAAUACGUAGGGGGCAAGCGGUAGCCGGAUUUACUGGGUGGAAAGGGAGCGUAGACGGCGAUGCAAGUCUGAAGUGAAAGGCGGGGGCCCAACCCCCGGACUGCUUUGGAAACUGUAUGGCUAGAGUGAAGGAGAGGUAAGUGGAAUUCCUAGUGUAGCGGUGAAAUGCGUAGAUAUUAGGAGGAACACCAGUGGCGAAGGCGGCUUACUGGACUGUAACUGACGUUGAGGCUCGAAAGCGUGGGGAGCAAACAGGAUUAGAUACCCUAGUAGUC
RNAcentral lists this ribosomal RNA (443 nucleotides) under uncultured bacterium. RNAcentral describes it as "partial 16S ribosomal RNA". It matches the Rfam family "Bacterial small subunit ribosomal RNA", at positions 338 to 795 of the family's 1533-position model. The record is from RNAcentral.